GUCGAACGAUGAAGACCGUGCUUGCACGGUCGGAUUAGUGGCGAACGGGUGAGUAUCACGUGAGUAACCUUCCCUUAACUCUGGGAUAAGCCCGGGAAACUGGGUCUAAUACCGGAUACGACCAGUCCUCGCAUGGGGUGCUGGUGGAAAGAUUUAUCGGUUUUGGAUGGACUCGCGGCCUAUCAGCUUGUUGGUGAGGUAAUGGCUCACCAAGGCGAUGACGGGUAGCCGGCCUGAGAGGGUGACCGGCCACACUGGGACUGAGACACGGCCCAGACUCCUACGGGAGGCAGCAGUGGGGAAUAUUGCACAAUGGGCGAAAGCCUGAUGCAGCGACGCCGCGUGCGGAAUGACGGCCUUCGGGUUGUAAACCGCUUUCAGCAGGGAAGAAGCGAAAGUGACGGUACCUGCAGAAGAAGCGCCGGCUAACUACGUGCCAGCAGCCGCGGUAAUACGUAGGGCGCGAGCGUUAUCCGGAAUUAUUGGGCGUAAAGAGCUCGUAGGCGGUUUGUCACGUCUGCUGUGAAAGCCCGGGGCUCA
Molecule: ribosomal RNA, 540 nt
Filed under: bacterium SL5.32
Lineage: Bacteria
Description: bacterial SSU rRNA
Rfam family: Bacterial small subunit ribosomal RNA
Source: RNAcentral